Molecule: long non-coding RNA, 516 nt
Organism: Alosa alosa (allis shad)
Lineage: Eukaryota; Metazoa; Chordata; Actinopteri; Clupeiformes; Clupeidae
Exons: 5
Source: RefSeq, a predicted model, not a curated record
AGUGAUAAUGAUAUAGCCAACCUUCUACUGCAUAAGAGUCUGCACUCCAAUGGGGCAGAUGCUUGCAGUGCCUUUGACAACCUUGGUAAAGGGACUGCCAAUCUUGCUAGCCUGCUCAUUGCUGGCAAAACCAAGGAAGCUAUUGAACAGGCUAUGAGUCAAGGUGCGUGGCACCAUGCCUUGAUCUUAAACAUCUUAGAAAGACAUGGCCCAUCUGACUGCAUAAUGUCCAGGUUUGUUAAUAAUCUGGAUGAUUCAGAUUUAAUGAAGACCUACUAUCAGGUCAGGCUGGGAGAAAUGCCUUCAGCUGCAUUUGCUUGUGGUGAGGACAGCUGCCAAAACUGGCAUCUGCACCUUGCCAUUGUGGUACAGUUGUCCAAAAGCAACCAUCUUUGAAAGACGUCUGUUACAAAGAUGGCAGAAACCUUGGCAUCUAAAGGACAUAAGCACGGCGCACAGUUCUGCCAGAUGGUGCUGCAACUAGACCGGGAGCACCUCCUGGAGCACUCACUGUAU